This 380-nucleotide ribosomal RNA is filed under the name uncultured eukaryote. Its description in RNAcentral is "partial 18S ribosomal RNA". It matches the Rfam family "Eukaryotic small subunit ribosomal RNA", at positions 592 to 976 of the family's 1831-position model. The record is from RNAcentral.
CAAUAGCGUAUAUUAAAGUUGUUGCAGUUAAAAAGCUCGUAGUUGGAUUUGUGGUGUACUUCGGCGGCCCGUCACUAUGUGAUGGAGCUUGCUGAAGUCGCCAUCCUUGGGUGGAUCCUGUGUGGCAUUAAGUUGUCGUGCAGGGGAUGCCCAUCGUUUACUGUGAAAAAAUUAGAGUGUUCAAAGCAGGCUUAUGCCGUUGAAUAUAUUAGCAUGGAAUAAUAAGAUAGGACCUUGGUACUAUUUUGUUGGUUUGCGCACCGAGGUAAUGAUUAACAGGGACAGUUGGGGGUAUUCGUAUUCCAUUGUCAGAGGUGAAAUUCUUGGAUUUCUGGAAGACGAACUACUGCGAAAGCAUUUACCAAGGAUGUUUUCAUUAA